UAUCAGGAGACAUUUCACAGCUAGACAGUUUCUUGGUACAAACCUGCUUUUACUUGGUACCAAGAUAGCUUGAGCCAUUCAUCAAGAGGGCAACUAUAUUUAGCUAGCUCAAUCUGUUUGAAUCUCAAGCAGAGGGAGAAGAAGCAGAUUGUUUGCUUAUAUCAACUUGUAUAACGAACAUAAUUUAAAAGAAUAGCUAUCUUUUCUUUGAAAGUUUCGUUGAGCUCCAAUAUUUCAAUACAUGUUAGGAUAGGUCAAGGCAGUUU
This 266-nucleotide long non-coding RNA is filed under the name Oryza brachyantha (malo sina). RNAcentral describes it as "long non-coding RNA (OBRA_LNC001115)". The record is from RNAcentral. Lineage: Eukaryota; Viridiplantae; Streptophyta; Magnoliopsida; Poales; Poaceae.